Molecule: RNA transcript, 1375 nt
Organism: Monomorium pharaonis (pharaoh ant)
Lineage: Eukaryota; Metazoa; Arthropoda; Insecta; Hymenoptera; Formicidae
Exons: 7
Source: RefSeq, a predicted model, not a curated record
GUAGCAUGUUUAUUAUCAGGAGGAGUAGAAGGUUAGAAUUGUCAAAAGUCAACGUACGAAUGUAUGAGUUUUAUAAAGCUGUAUAUUAUUAAUUAAAUAUAAGUCUUCCAUGGCGGUUUUACAUCGCGCCUUGCUCACGUGGUUCAAUUUGCUUAUAUUCUUAAUUUUAUUGGUCUUGAGGCUUGACCAAAGAAUACAAUGGAAUUGGGUUAUAGUUUUCAUUCCAAUGUGGUUCUACGACAAUAUUCUUCUUAUUUAUAUUAUUUUUAACAUGAUUUCUCACUGCAAGAACGGGCGUAUCAACAGUUUGCAACGAGAAGCAUGUGAAUUCAAUUGCAUAGAAGAAAUAGAAACAAGUCAACUGAGAAAGACAAGAGAGAGAAAAAAUUGCUUUUACGAUUACAUAACAUUCACUCAAAAAAACAUUUUUGUGUACUGUGUAAUUAAUGUGACAAUUAUCUGUGAACAAACUGGUUUUGCAGCAAUUGUGAAAAAAAGGUAAACAUUAAGUGUGACCAUGUGGCUUUUUGUACUUUUUUAUUCAUUAUUUAUAUUACAAAAAUCCGAAACUGCAAAUGACUUAGUAACAGUGAAAGAAGUGAUAGCUGGACACUUGGCUGAGCUUCCUUGCUUAAGUAUUGAUGACCAUCAUCGUUUCAUGUUCUGGCAAUUUGGAACUAACAAUGUUAUUGGCCCAGGAAAUCCUUUAAAUGAAAAGAAAUAUAAUUAUGAAGUAUUAACUGGCACGCUUCAAAUCAGAGGUGUAUCGACAGCAGAAUCUGGGUUUUAUAAAUGUUUUUCAAAAGGCCUAUUUGAUGAUUCUCAAUUAAAAGUUAAUUCUGUUGAAUUAAUAGUCACAAACGAUUGGGAGCAACUUUGGGAAAAUGAUUUUGAGACAAAUCUGUUACGGGGAAUGACUGCUGUUAUGGUAUUGGUGGUUGCAGUAGCUGUUGUUCUUCUAAUUAUUACUGUUAAGAGAAAAAGAAGUCAAAGAUUCUUUGAUCUGGACGAAUCGAGAGAAAAUUCUCCGGUACACUAUACAUCAGAUAAUACACCUGGUGUUUCAUCAAGCAUCGAAAACGUUGGAAUGGAUAACGCUGUUCUCGAUAUCGAUUUCCCUAAAGUGUUUAAACAAAUGCAAAAAGAACAAGCGAUGCCAUAAGUAGUAAUUGUAUUAUAACACAAAUUACAUUAUAUUUUAGUGUUUUCUUUUAUCCUUAAAUGUAUAUUUUGUGAUAGAUAUAUCGAUAUCUUUCUUUUAUGCAAAUAAUAGUUUAGUUCAUUUUUGCAAUACAUGUAAAUAUACUUUAAAAACAUAUCUUGUGAAUAUUAACUCUAUAUAUUCAAAAUAAAUGAGUUUAAAAUUAAUUUUGAG